This 110-nucleotide small RNA is filed under the name Mytilus galloprovincialis (Mediterranean mussel). Lineage: Eukaryota; Metazoa; Mollusca; Bivalvia; Mytilida; Mytilidae. The record is from RNAcentral.
UUGCUAGGUUGUUUGAACCAUGUAGCUUAAUGGUUUAAACGAGUUAGGUAAGUAGUUUUAACUAAUUACCUCACUCGUUUAAACCAUUAGGCUACUUGGUUCAAACAACC